This 246-nucleotide non-coding RNA is filed under the name Carnobacterium inhibens. RNAcentral's name for it is "T-box sequence". It matches the Rfam family "T-box leader". Rfam says of the family: Uncharged tRNA acts as the effector for transcription antitermination of genes in the T-box leader family. T-boxes are found upstream of many aminoacyl-tRNA synthetase genes and some amino acid biosynthetic genes usually in Gram-positive bacteria. The record is from RNAcentral. Lineage: Bacteria; Bacillati; Bacillota; Bacilli; Lactobacillales; Carnobacteriaceae.
UUAAAAGCUUUGAAGAGAAAAAGUAAGUUUAGAAACUUUUAAGAGAGAUUGCGGUGCUGAAAGCAAUCAAGGGUCUAUUCCGAACACACAUCUCUGAGCUGACAGUUGAAUGCUUAUAAGUAAACUGAUCCGGGAGUACCCGUUAUAGUACUAGCGUUUAGUAGUUUUGAACGUGAUGAGGUAGUUUUCUGCGAAGAAGCUACGAAUAAAGGUGGAACCACGAUAUUGAUAUCAAUCGUCCUUUGA